RNA transcript from Mandrillus leucophaeus (drill), 582 nucleotides. It is a transcript of the gene named mitochondrial import receptor subunit TOM20 homolog pseudogene, with no coding region annotated. The record is from RefSeq and is a predicted model, not a curated record. The transcript has a single exon. NCBI's taxonomy places the organism in Eukaryota, Metazoa, Chordata, Mammalia, Primates, Cercopithecidae.
GACCCGCGGGCAUUGGGUAUGAGUGGCAACCUCCGCCCUGAGGGUUCGUGGCCCACCACUCCUUCGCAGUCCCUGCCGCCACCGUCCAUGGUCUGCAUUGUAGAGAAGACUGUGGGUUGGAAGAGCGCCAUCGCCGCCAGUGUAUGCCGGGCCCUUUUUAUCGGGUACUGCAUCUACUUCGACCACAAAAGACAAAGUGACCCCAGCUUCAAGAACAGGCUUUGAGAACGAAGAAACAGAAGCUUCCCAAGCAGAGAGCUGGGUUUUCCAACUUACCUAACCUUAAAGAUGCUGAAGCUGUUCAGAAAUUCUUCCUUGAAGAAACACAGCUUGGUGAAGAGUUACUAGCUCAAGGUGAAUAUGAGAAGGGUGUAGACCAUCUGACAAAUGCAAUUGCUGUGUGUGGACAGCCACAGCAGUUACUGCAGGUCUUACAGCAAACUCUUCCACCACCAGUGUUCCAGAUGCUUCUGACUAAGCUCCCCAAAAUUAGAGAAUUAUAAGUGCUCAGAGCUUGGCUGAAGAUGAUGUGGAAUGAGAAACAAAUGUCAACAUAAUAAAAUCUUAGUUAAAAAUAUUUAA